CCUACGGGAGGCAGCAGUGGGGAAUAUUGCGCAAUGGGCGAAAGCCUGACGCAGCGACGCCGCGUGAGGGAUGAAGGUCUUCGGAUCGUAAACCUCUGUCAGCAGGGAAGCACGGUCACUGUGCUAAUCAGCCGUGAAUUGACGGUACCUGCAAAGGAAGCACCGGCUAACUCCGUGCCAGCAGCCGCGGUAAUACGGAGGGUGCGAGCUUUGAUCGGAAUUACUGGGCGUAAAGCGCUCGUAGGCGGUAUGUCAAGUCAAGGGUGAAAUCCCCGCGCUCAACGUGGGAACUGCCUUUGAAACUGGCAAACUGGAGUGGGUGAGAGGAUAGUGGAAUUCCAGGUGUAGGAGUGAAAUCCGUAGAUAUCUGGAGGAACAUCAGUGGCGAAGGCGACUAUCUGGCACAUAACUGACGCUGAGGAGCGAAAGCGUGGGUAGCAAACAGGAUUAGAUACCCGUGUAGUC
Molecule: ribosomal RNA, 465 nt
Filed under: uncultured bacterium
Lineage: Bacteria
Description: partial 16S ribosomal RNA
Rfam family: Bacterial small subunit ribosomal RNA
Source: RNAcentral